This 265-nucleotide long non-coding RNA is filed under the name Lathyrus oleraceus (garden pea). Its description in RNAcentral is "Pisum sativum (pea) long non-coding RNA (PSAT_LNC035613)". Lineage: Eukaryota; Viridiplantae; Streptophyta; Magnoliopsida; Fabales; Fabaceae. The record is from RNAcentral.
GUUUUUCUCAUUUUCUGAUUUUCCUUUUAAUUUUUGUUUAUUCCAUUUUAUUUCAAAAAAUCAUAUCUCUCUCAUUUUAAUUCCAAAAAAUAUGAGACCAAUUGCAUUAUUUCUCUUUUAAUUUCUAGUUUCUGAAAAUGAUUUUUAAUAUUUUUUAUUUUAUCAUUUGAUAUUUUUUAUGAAUUUUCUCUUUUCUGGUUAUUUUUAAUUCAUUUUAAAUAGUUUUCAAUAUCCAAAAAAUACAAAAAUAUUUUCUUAACCUCUU